This 69-nucleotide transfer RNA is filed under the name Ocnus glacialis. Its description in RNAcentral is "tRNA-His". Lineage: Eukaryota; Metazoa; Echinodermata; Holothuroidea; Dendrochirotida; Cucumariidae. The record is from RNAcentral.
AUUGAAGUAAUUUAUUUAAAAUACUAAUUUGUGGCAUUAGAAAAGGUAUGCCUUAUUAUACCCUUAAUC